GAAGUGGAGGUUGCAGUGAGCUAAGAUCGUGCCACUGCACUCCAGCCUGGGUGAUACAGCCAGACAUUGUCUCCAAAAAAAAAAAAAAAGAAGAAGAAUGGUUCAGCAAAUGCCUACUGAGGAGCUAUCAUGUCCCGGAAAUUGCCUCCACUUCCAGGAAGACAGUGAGUCAGUUGCCAACCAGAAGGCCCAUUGAGCCUGAGCACUUCAGCGUGUGCUUCCUACAGAUUAAGGACGUCCUCCUGCAUAACUGUCCCAGGAAAAGGUCCCAAUCCAGACCCCAAGAGAGAGUUCUUGGAUCUCGCACAAGAAAGAAUUCAGGAAUGCGGCCCCUCUAGCCCUUGACUUGGAAAAUCUGGAGCUACCACUGAAGUCAACAAUGGCUACUGAAGGCACAAAAGGCCGUACAUGGUGGGUGAGGGGGGCUCAAGAACCGGAGAAGUGGAGUCGCCAGGCCUCAGAACAGCGCCAGGGAUCUGGGGAGCAGGAACUACCAGGCGAUCUCUUUAGAAGUCCAAGCUGCCCUUUACUCAGAGCUGUUGAUAUGAGUUGCCAAAUUACCUUCUAGAACAAA
Molecule: long non-coding RNA, 574 nt
Organism: Piliocolobus tephrosceles (Ugandan red Colobus)
Lineage: Eukaryota; Metazoa; Chordata; Mammalia; Primates; Cercopithecidae
Exons: 3
Source: RefSeq, a predicted model, not a curated record